Molecule: ribosomal RNA, 433 nt
Filed under: uncultured bacterium
Lineage: Bacteria
Description: partial 16S ribosomal RNA
Rfam family: Bacterial small subunit ribosomal RNA
Source: RNAcentral
AACGAACGCUGGCGGCAUGCCUAACACAUGUAAGUCGAACGAGACCUUCGUGUCUAGUGGCGCACGUGUGCGUAACGCGUGGGAACCUGCCCUUAGGUUCGGUAUAACUUCCCGAAAGGGGUGCUAAUACCGGUUAAUGUCUUCGGACCAAAGAUUUAUCGCCUUUGGAUGGGCCCGCGUUGGAUUAGCGAGUUGGUAGGGUACAAGCCUACCAAGGCGACGAUCCAUAGCUGGUCUGAUAGGAUGAUCAGCCACACUGGGACUGAGACACGGCCCAGAAUCCUACGGGCGGCAGCAGUGGGGAAUAUUGGACAAUGGGCGAAAGCCUGAUCCAGCAAUGCCGCGUGAGUGAUGAAGGCCUUAGGGUUGUAAAGCUCUUUUACCCGGGAUGAUAAUGACAGUACCGGGAGAAUAAGCUCCGGCUAACUCCGUG